GCCGGUGUGGUGGCACGUGCCUGUAACCCAGCUACUGGGAUGGCUGAGGUGGGAGGAUCUCUUGAGCUCAGGAGUUCUGGGAUGUAGUGCGCUAUGCCCAUCGGGUGUCUGCACUAAGUUCAGCAUCAAUAUGGUGACCUCCUGGGAGUGGGAGACCACCAGGUUGCCUAAGGAGAGGUGAACCAGCCCAGGUUGGAAAAGGAACAGGUCACAACCCCUGUGCUGAUCAGUGUGGGAUCGAGUCUGUGAAUAGGCACUGCACUCCAGCCUGGGCAACAUAGCAAGACCCAGUCUCU
This 296-nucleotide signal recognition particle RNA is filed under the name Saimiri boliviensis boliviensis (Bolivian squirrel monkey). RNAcentral describes it as "Metazoan signal recognition particle RNA (ENSSBOG00000009665.1)". It matches the Rfam family "Metazoan signal recognition particle RNA". Rfam says of the family: The signal recognition particle (SRP) is a universally conserved ribonucleoprotein. It is involved in the co-translational targeting of proteins to membranes. The record is from RNAcentral. Lineage: Eukaryota; Metazoa; Chordata; Mammalia; Primates; Cebidae.